This 468-nucleotide ribosomal RNA is filed under the name uncultured bacterium. RNAcentral describes it as "partial 16S ribosomal RNA". It matches the Rfam family "Bacterial small subunit ribosomal RNA", at positions 28 to 507 of the family's 1533-position model. The record is from RNAcentral.
GACGAACGCUGGCGGCGUGCUUAAUACAUGCAAGUCGAACGGAAAGGCCCUGCUCUUGUGGGGUGCUCGAGUGGCGAACGGGUGAGUAACACGUGAGUAACCUGUCCCUGACUUUGGGAUAACUUCAGGAAACUGGGGCUAAUACCGGAUAGGAGCUCCUGCUGCAUGGUGGGGGAUGGAAAGUUUCGGCGGUUGGGGAUGGACUCGCGGCUUAUCAGCUUGUUGGUGGGGUAGUGGCUUACCAAGGCUUUGACGGGUAGCCGGCCUGAGAGGGUGACCGGCCACAUUGGGACUGAGAUACGGCCCAGACUGCUACGGGAGGCAGCAGUGGGGAAUAUUGCACAAUGGGCGGAAGCCUGAUGCAGCAACGCCGCGUGCGGGAUGACGGCCUUCGGGUUGUAAACCGCUUUCGCCUGUGACGAAGCGUGAGUGACGGUAAUGGGUAAGGAAGCACCGGCUAACUACGUG